This 386-nucleotide unclassified non-coding RNA is filed under the name Hevea brasiliensis (rubber tree). The record is from RNAcentral. Lineage: Eukaryota; Viridiplantae; Streptophyta; Magnoliopsida; Malpighiales; Euphorbiaceae.
AAUAGUCACAUUUAAAACUGUACCAAUGUCAAAUUGAAAAGAAGACAUUGGUUCUAGUUUUUAUCUUUAAUUUUUCUAUAUAUUGUUGACAUUUGAAAAAGAAUGAUGUUACACUAACAACAACAUGUUAAUUACCAUAAUCUAGUACUGACACUUAUAAAGAAGGGUAGUCACUGACUAGUAGCAGAGUGCAAUAUAUGACUAAAACCAAAGCUUACUCUAUACAUCAGCAUUAGAAUUCAUUAAAAAUAUCAAAGACAUACAACAAUUAUGAUAUCACCUUCCCUAUAAUUCAUUAGUUCUAACAUCAUAACCAUGAAAAUCCCACUUAGAGGCCUUUUUUCUAUGUCUUUGCUACAUGUUGAAGUUCCUCACCUAUGUCUUUG